CAGAUAGCAUGCCAUGUCUAAGUAUAAGCAAUUAUACCGUGAAACUGCGAAUGGCUCAUUAAAUCAGUUAUCGUUUAUUUGAUAGUACCUUACUACUUGGAUACCCGUGGUAAUUCUAGAGCUAAUACAUGCAAAAAACCCCGACUUCGGGAGGGGUGUAUUUAUUAGAUAAAAAACCAAUGCCCUUCGGGGCUCUUUGGUGAUUCAUGAUAACUUAACGGAUCGCAUGGCCUUGCGCCGGCGACGGUUCAUUCAAAUUUCUGCCCUAUCAACUUUCGAUGGUAAGGUAUUGGCUUACCAUGGUUUCAACGGGUAACGGAUUUUUAGGGAAAGAUCCCGGAGAGGGAGCCUGAGAAACGGCUACCACAUCCAAGGAAGGCAGCAGGCGCGCAAAUUACCCAAUCCCGACACGGGGAGGUAGUGACAAUAAAUACUGAUACAGGGCUCUUUUGGGUCUUGUAAUCGGAAUGAGUACAAUUUAAAUACCUUAACGAGGAACAAUUGGAGGGCAAGUCUGGUGCCAGCAGCCGCGGUAAUUCCAGCUCCAAUAGCGUAUAUUAAAGUUGUUGCAGUUAAAAAGCUCGUAGUUGAAACUUGGGCCUGGCUGGCCGGUCCGCCUCACCGCGUGUACUGGUCCGGCCGGGCCUUUCCUUCUGGAGAACCGCAUGCCCUUCACUGGGUGUGCCGGGGAACCAGGACUUUUACUUUGAGAAAAUUAGAGUGUUCAAAGCAGGCCUUUGCUCGAAUACGUUAGCAUGGAAUAAUAGAAUAGGACGUGCGGUCCUAUUUUGUUGGUUUCUAGAACCGCCGUAAUGAUUAAUAGGGAUAGUCGGGGGCGUCAGUAUUCAAUUGUCAGAGGUGAAAUUCUUGGAUCUAUUGAAGACUAACUACUGCGAAAGCAUUCGCCAAGGAUGUUUUCAUUAAUCAGUGAACGAAAGUUAGGGGAUCGAAGACGAUCAGAUACCGUCGUAGUCUUAACCGUAAACUAUGCCGACUAGGGAUCGGGCGAUGUUUCUAUAUUGACUCGCUCGGCACCUUACGAGAAAUCAUAAGUUUUGGUCUGGGG
RNAcentral lists this ribosomal RNA (1066 nucleotides) under Parathyridaria ramulicola. Its description in RNAcentral is "SSU rRNA". It matches the Rfam family "Eukaryotic small subunit ribosomal RNA", at positions 40 to 1119 of the family's 1831-position model. Lineage: Eukaryota; Fungi; Ascomycota; Dothideomycetes; Pleosporales; Thyridariaceae. The record is from RNAcentral.